CUACAAGGGUUUCUAAUCCUGUUUGCUCCCCACGCUUUCGUGCAUGAGCGUCAGUACAGGUCCAGGGGAUUGCCUUCGCCAUCGGUGUUCCUCCGCAUAUCUACGCAUUUCACUGCUACACGCGGAAUUCCAUCCCCCUCUACCGUACUCUAGCUAUGCAGUCACAAAUGCAGUUCCCAGGUUAAGCCCGGGGAUUUCACACCUGUCUUACAUAACCGCCUGCGCACGCUUUACGCCCAGUAAUUCCGAUUAACGCUUGCACCCUACGUAUUACCGCGGCUGCUGGCAC
RNAcentral lists this ribosomal RNA (289 nucleotides) under uncultured Comamonadaceae bacterium. Its description in RNAcentral is "partial 16S ribosomal RNA". Lineage: Bacteria; Pseudomonadati; Pseudomonadota; Betaproteobacteria; Burkholderiales; Comamonadaceae. The record is from RNAcentral.